GGAAUCGCUAGUAAUCGCAAAUCAGAAUGUUGCGGUGAAUACGUUCCCGGGCCUUGUACACACCGCCCGUCACACCAUGGGAGUGGGUUGUACCAGAAGUAGAUAGCUUAACCUUCGGGAGGGCGUUUACCACGGUAUGAUUCAUGACUGGGGUGAAGUCGUAACAAGGUAACCGUAGGGGAACCUGCGGUUGGAUCACCUCCUUACCUAAAA
Molecule: ribosomal RNA, 213 nt
Filed under: Pasteurella multocida
Lineage: Bacteria; Pseudomonadati; Pseudomonadota; Gammaproteobacteria; Pasteurellales; Pasteurellaceae
Description: partial 16S ribosomal RNA
Rfam family: Bacterial small subunit ribosomal RNA
Source: RNAcentral